This is a long non-coding RNA of Astatotilapia calliptera (eastern happy), 1265 nucleotides long. Lineage: Eukaryota; Metazoa; Chordata; Actinopteri; Cichliformes; Cichlidae. The record is from Ensembl.
GGUGAAUGUAAUUUUUUUUUUCACUCUCUCAGCCUCUCAACUGCCCUGACAUCUGAUGGCUGAUGCUGAGCAGCAGCCAUUUCCGUAAGCAGUGAGUGAGGAGAAUGGGGAUAGAGGGAUGAGAGCUUGAUGGAGACAGAGUGGGAGAGUUAAAAAAAAACACAGUGAAAGGGAGCGAAAGAGAGAGAGAGAGAUGUGGGUGGUUUUGAGCAGAGAGGAAAGAUGCUCUGCUCUGGAAGGCUGUGUGGGCGUUCGUUGCCGGCGAGGAGCUCGGGGAUGAGCCGAGCCGCCUGUGACCCUCUGUGGAGAUUUUAACCCCUGGAUAACAGCUGCUCCGCACCUGGCCUGGACCAGAUCCCAGAGCCCCAAACAUGCAGGACUCCCACAAAUCUCAGUGUUUUAAAAACCUCUUUCACAGCAACAGCAGGAGCAAAUAGAUGCUAAGAGCACUCAGAGUGUUUUAUCUCUCCAUCUCUGGUGGAUUGUGUACUGGGUGACCGUUCGCUCUGGGUGUCAGAGGCCCCGGAUGAAGAGGUGCCUACAGAUCAUCGAGUGGUCUUGAAAGCAUCACAUGAGAUCCUCUUGGAUGCACAUCAGAGGCAGCUCUUGUGGUGAAUUUUAUACCAGAACAUUGCUUCGAAAAACAGAUUGUUCCAGUUGUAAAGCAAGAACAUAGAGACACUGAGCAAACUGUGUUGACUCUUCAGCCUUUUUUUAAAUUAUCAGUGCGUGUUACAAGGUGCAUGUGUGCAAAAUGUGUAGAUGCACAAGUGUUCAUGGCUUGUAUCCUGUCAUAUAAAUCAUGUUUAUAUUAAAGAGUUGACAGAAGAAAUGUGGUGAUUGAAGCAACUCUUAAAUCACCCAGUCUGAGAAAUCUGAAAAUCUUUGUGGAGACUUUUGUUCUAUAAUUUUAAAGAUUGUAUGUACAUAUUUUUAACUCAUAUUUUUGUCACUGAAAUUGUGUUAAGGGAAGAAGCUUAAAUAAUUUGUUUCAUACCUUUUGCGUUACUUUGUAACACAAGUCUGAGGUCAUGGUUCUCAGCCCCGAAUCGGGGAAGUGAUCACUCAUUUUUGUAUCUCCUGCACAAACUAAAGUCAGCAUUAAAUAAAUAAAUGAAUCAAAUAAAAAUCAGAAUGUGCAAUACCAGAGAGAUGCUCCUCUUGUCAUGAGGUUCAUAUGAGAGCUGGACCCAAAAGCAGACGCCAUGCACUCACUGAGAACUAUAUACAAGACUUUAUUUACGAGGAUAAGAAGAGUGAAGCAG